GCUUUGCAUGGCUUGCCGACAUUUAUUACGAUUUAUUACGAUUCAAUACUAACAUAUCUGCUAACAUAUAGUUACAAUACAAAAACAUCAGUAGGAAUAUUGUCACAUUCCUGUUUCAAUCAAAUAAAGGUAAAUUGAACGGCUGAUAGGGCUAUUAUGUGCAGCCUGGGCUCUUUUGGCAGCCAUUUAAAAUUACUCCUGUUUUAGAGAAACUGAUUUAAAUGGACUUAAUUUGGAUAAGGAAUCAAACAUGCAGGUUGUUACGAACAAUGAGAUAAUGGAUAGCAUUGGCUAACUCAGCAACACGUGCUCUGGGGUUACUCAUCUCCAAAGAUAAAGCGUUCAGAGGGAUGCGUUUGAUGUCUUCAACAAGCUCUACGAUACCUUGUAUGGCCGAUCAUCAGCUACGGCGCCGUCAUAUGGAGAGCUUAGGAAUUUUCCUGCAUCAACGCUGUACAGCACCACGCAGGAAGAUACUUCCUUGGCGUUUACAGGUACACACUGAAUGCGGCUGUCAAUGGCGACAUGGGAUGGGAACCUCCGAUCGUCCGUCAGUGGAAGUGCAUAAUGGGACACUACUUCCACUGUGUGCACAUGGACAGCACGCGACUGAACAAAGUGUUUUCUUUAAGUCGUAUCGUAACCGCAAACGUCACAAAAAUAUUUACAUAGACAUAUAAUACCAACCUCUACAUGCAAACGGAUAACCAAUUAAGAAGUGACUAUUAUGCUUAAAAAUAUAAAAACAACCGAAAACAUGCGUUAACCAGGCAAGAGGCGGAAGAAAUACGCUAAGAAUGAUAAAACAUUUAAAACUAGUUUUGAGACUGAACCCUAUCUGAAAUGUUAUAGUAUGUCAAGGGUAAGAAGAAGUGCACUAUCUAAAUUUAGAUGCGGGGUUGCACCCCUUAGAAUAGAAACAGGCAGAUACGAGGGAGUACCCGAACAUGAACGGACCUGCUUUCACUGCCUCAUAUAGAAAAUGAAGAACAUGUGUUAAUGCACUGCAACUUGUAUGACAGAAUUCGCCAAGAUAUAUUUGUUAACGUUAUGAAUAUUGAACCUGAUUUUUUAUCGUUAAAAACUUCAGAACAAUUUUGGCAGUUAAUGUCUAAUGAGUCCUUUGUUAAAUACUAUGCCAAAGCCUGCAAUGACAUUUUAAUACAUCGUAAACACUGUUUAUAUGUGUGGUACUUUUACACGUGUAUCUAUCUGUACCUUUUAACAUGUUUAAAUGAUAUUUAUAUCACGAUAAAUCUGUUCAUAGUCUCUUGUAACUCAAAUUGAGAGGUUUUGUACAUUAUAUUGUUUGUAUUUUAACUAAACUACCUUGUAUUAUAUUCUAUUAAAUGACACAUGUUAUAAUCAUAUAUAUAAUUGUAUGUGCAGAACUGAGACUUUAAUAAACUGUCUGUCUGUCUACAGUUGCGCACUACGGUACCUUUAAAAAAGUAAUUAAAAGUAUUUGAGAUCGCAAUACUUGUUAGCAUCCGUAUUGAAUUAAUAUGAUAAUGCAUUAUUGUAUUUCAUUUAUGUUUUCUCAAAAAUAUGUUUUUAUUGAUUUGCAUGUCUAUGUGUUUUAUGUGAAAAGAAAAUUGCUUCCUGUCACCUAUGCUCUACAACCACCCUACUUUACAGCGUUACAUCGAAUAGCUAGCGGUCUUGGAGUCUUUCUGUUAAUCGAUCAAUUUUAUUUCUUGUCAUUCUUGUGCACAAUAAUACAAAGUCAACCAUUCAUAAUUAAUUGUAAUUAACACCUACACAAAUCUAGCCUGAUCACACAGUUUCUCAAGUACGUGUAAAAUUGACACACACAGUUGGUAACGCGCUUAUUAUCUUCUACCCUCCGCAAUUAAUUAGCGCCGUUUUUAAUAAUGGAGGGCUCUAUUUAAAAAGGGAUUACUGAGAACUUAAAGAGUGAAAGCCGAACAAUUAGAAGCAUGCGAUAAUAUCACCUGUUAAUCUUGAUUUAUCAACCUCAUUACUAGUUUACAAAGAACUCAUACCUUUAUUUGAAAGGUCUCUGAAAUUUAGAUGCUAUUGACAAUAAACAAACAUAUUAAAAUCAUUGCUAGAAUACGCCUUUCAUCGCAUUCUAGUAUGUUGUUAAUUGAAACUGGCAGACAUCAUAACAUUAGAAGAAACAAAAUAAUUUAUGCUUUAUGUAAUCUUAACGAUUUAGAAGACGAAUAUCACUUUUACUUAAAUGUUCGUUUUAUUUAAAAGAAAGAUCCAAAUACAUAACUACACACUUCUCAUUAAUACCAAGUACCAGUAUAUACAUAAUUUUGUUGUAAACUUUUAAAUAGGAAUAAUACAGAUACUCUUAGGAAGUGAGCAAUUUACUGCAUAAUAUGCGUUAAGAAAAGAUAUACUUAUGUUCUUCUGUAACUAAACGUUUAUUAUUGUCAUUUAUGUACCGUUUCUUAUGAAAUGAAUGUACUUUGUUUUAGACUGUUACCGAUUUCUGUAAACUUGUAUAAUGUAUUUUGAAAUGAAUGUACUUUGUUGUGCCUGUUUCAACUGGUUUUCGUAAACAUGCUGUUUAUACUCAAUUCAUUGUUGAUAUGAACACACAACAAAUACUUAUUAGUAUUUAAAUUACUCUAGGAUAGGUGCCCCCAGGAGAAGUGCCCCCUCAAGGAUUUUUCACUGGGCGGAGAACUGCCCCCUCACUGUUUUUUUUAUUGGGCGGAGAACUGCCCUCCUGCUGAAAAAUAGGGAGCGCAGAAGUGGCCUCCUGUCAGAAUUGAUGACCCGGAGAUGUUCCCCCUAAAUAAAGAAAUUUCGCGGCAAGUAAAGUCGAUAUAUAGAGCGAGUAUUACAAUGACAAAAACGCCAUGCGUAAAAACGUAACUUUCUUGCUAAUAUGGUUGGAAAGUGAGCGAAAUUUCAUGGAGAGACACGAAAGGAAGCUUUUGGAGAACCUCGAUUGUCUGUUGCCGGCACAAAGCUGUUAUGGGUUCCUUGAAGUGCUGCAGGAGUUGAAAUUGAGUGCAGAGAAUGGUUUCAAACAGCCUCUGAUCGUGACGGUGGCAGAAAAGCAAGGACGGACAAGAAACGUGAUGAAGCGUCGCAAUUUAUUAUAACUCGUUUGUUUAAACUGUGAAUUAAGUCUUCUACUGGAAUCAUUUAUUAUGUUAAUAAAAGGUCUCUUUGAACUUGUAAUUAAUUAUUUUACACAAUGUUUAUGCAUAAUGAUGGAAGCAGUGUUUUUUAUGCUCCCCCAAAUUUUUUUGGGGGAGCAUAUAGUCGCCGCUUCGUCUGUCCGUGCGUGUGUCCGUUCGUUCGUGCACAAUUUUUGUCCGGGCUAUUUCUCAGCAAUUAAUGACCGGAAUUCAAUUAAACUUUAUGGGAAGCUUCACUACCAAGAGGAGAUGUGCAUAUUAUCAGCCGGUUCUGGUCGGAUUAUUUUUCACAGAGUUAUGGCCCUUUGAAAUUUUCCAUUUACUGUACAUAUAGUGCAAUUCUUGUCCGGGCUAUUUCUCCCCAACUACUGACUGGAAUUCAAUGAAGCUUUAUGAGAAGCUUAACUACCUUUAGGAGAUGCGCAUGUAAUUUGUGGGUUCUGGUUAGAUGAUUAUUUAGAGAGUUAUGGCCCUUUGAAAUUUUUAAGUUGCUAAACCAUCCAUCGUAUGAUUUUGUUCAAAGUUAUGCCCCUCAAGACGUUUCCUUUUAUCUGAAUAUAUAGUGCAAUAUUGUGACAAAAAACCUUUGGGGAGCAUCACCCGUCUCCGACGGUUUCUUGUUUUAAUAUUAGUUGUAGCCUUUAUUACCUAAAUAGCUUAAAUUAAGUAUGUGUUACUUUUCAAUAUAUUUGUGUUAUAAUCAUUUUAAUUUGUCUUUUUUUUUAAAGAAAACUCAGUCGAUUUGUCAUUAAACAGUUUGUUUAAAAAUGUUAACUUUUUAGAUGCUGUAUCA
Long non-coding RNA from Dreissena polymorpha, 3921 nucleotides. RefSeq lists it as uncharacterized. The transcript is spliced from 3 exons. Lineage: Eukaryota; Metazoa; Mollusca; Bivalvia; Myida; Dreissenidae. The record is from RefSeq and is a predicted model, not a curated record.